RNAcentral lists this ribosomal RNA (492 nucleotides) under uncultured bacterium. RNAcentral describes it as "partial 16S ribosomal RNA". It matches the Rfam family "Bacterial small subunit ribosomal RNA", at positions 29 to 507 of the family's 1533-position model. The record is from RNAcentral.
AGUGAACGCUGGCGGUAGGCCUAACACAUGCAAGUCGAACGGCAGCACAGUAAGAGCUUGCUCUUACGGGUGGCGAGUGGCGGACGGGUGAGGAAUACAUCGGAAUCUACUUUUUCGUGGGGGAUAACGUAGGGAAACUUACGCUAAUACCGCAUACGACCUACGGGUGAAAGCAGAGGAUCUUCGGACCUUGCGCGAUUGAAUUAGCCGAUGUCGGAUUAGCUAGUUGGCGGGGUAAAGGCCCACCAAGGCGACGAUCCGUAGCUGGUCUGAGAGGAUGAUCAGCCACACUGGAACUGAGACACGGCCCAGACUCCUACGGGAGGCAGCAGUGGGGAAUAUUGGACAAUGGGCGCAAGCCUGAUCCAGCAAUACCGCGUGAGUGAAGAAGGCCUUCGGGUUGUAAAGCCCUUUUGUUGGGAAAGAAAAGCAGCAUGUUAAUACCCCGCUGUUCUGACGGUACCCAAAGAAUAAGCACCGGCUAACUUCGUG